RNAcentral lists this unclassified non-coding RNA (336 nucleotides) under soil metagenome. RNAcentral's name for it is "partial contains 5.8S ribosomal RNA, internal transcribed spacer 2, and large subunit ribosomal RNA". The stretch from base 1 to 120 matches the Rfam family "5.8S ribosomal RNA", at positions 35 to 154 of the family's 154-position model. The record is from RNAcentral.
GAUGAAGAACGCAGCGAAAUGCGAUAAGUAAUGUGAAUUGCAGAAUUCAGUGAAUCAUCGAAUCUUUGAACGCACAUUGCGCCCGCCAGUAUUCUGGCGGGCAUGCCUGUUCGAGCGUCAUUUCAACCAUCAAGCCCCCGGCUUGUGUUGGGGACCUGCGGCUGCCGCAGGCCCUGAAAAGCAGUGGCGGGCUCGCUGUCACACCGAGCGUAGUAGCAUACAUCUCGCUCCGGGCGUGCUGCGGGUUCCGGCCGUUAAACCACCUUCAUAACCCAAGGUUGACCUCGGAUCAGGUAGGAAGACCCGCUGAACUUAAGCAUAUCAAUAAGCGGAGGA